RNAcentral lists this long non-coding RNA (286 nucleotides) under Monodelphis domestica (gray short-tailed opossum). RNAcentral's name for it is "lncRNA (ENSMODG00000035467.2)". The record is from RNAcentral. Lineage: Eukaryota; Metazoa; Chordata; Mammalia; Didelphimorphia; Didelphidae.
AGAUUUCAAAAGCCUAGGGUUUCUGAGAGACACACACAAAGGGAUGAGAAGAAAAGAUUGGGAACAGCUAUUGUGGGUAGGUCUUCUGCAUCCAGGAGUAAAACUGAGAGGAGCCUUCAGCACAGAGUCUGGAUCAUCGCUGAAUUCAAUUGACAUCUGAAUUUUACUGGUGAAGAUACUGAAACUGAGAGGAGUUAAAUGACAGAGCUAUUAUGGAGCAGGAAAAGGAUUCACAUUCAGCUCUUGACUUUAAUUCAUUGCUUCUAUAAAAUGGAAAGAACAUUUG